GAUCAUUACCGAGUUAUUCAACUCAUCAACCCUGUGAACAUACCUAAACGUUGCUUCGGCGGGAAUAGACGGCCCCGUGAAACGGGCCGCCCCCGCCAGAGGACCCUUAACUCUGUUUCUAUAAUGUUUCUUCUGAGUAAAACAAGCAAAUAAAUUAAAACUUUCAACAACGGAUCUCUUGGCUCUGGCAUCGAUGAAGAACGCAGCGAAAUGCGAUAAGUAAUGUGAAUUGCAGAAUUCAGUGAAUCAUCGAAUCUUUGAACGCACAUUGCGCCCGCCAGUAUUCUGGCGGGCAUGCCUGUUCGAGCGUCAUUACAACCCUCAGGCCCCCGGGCCUGGCGUUGGGGAUCGGCGGAGCCUCUCUGUGGGCACACGCCGUCCCCCAAAUACAGUGGCGGUCCCGCCGCAGCUUCCAUCGCGUAGUAGCUAACACCUCGCGACUGGAGAGCGGCGCGGCCACGCCGUAAAACACCCAACUCUUCUGAAGUUGACCUCGAAUCAGGUAGGAAUACCCGCUGAACCUAAGCAUAUC
RNAcentral lists this unclassified non-coding RNA (532 nucleotides) under Fusarium bostrycoides. Its description in RNAcentral is "sequence contains 18S rRNA gene, ITS1, 5.8S rRNA gene, ITS2, 28S rRNA gene". The stretch from base 159 to 312 matches the Rfam family "5.8S ribosomal RNA". Lineage: Eukaryota; Fungi; Ascomycota; Sordariomycetes; Hypocreales; Nectriaceae. The record is from RNAcentral.